AAAAUGAGGACAAAUUCCAAUUUAUUUUUUUUAAGAAGCAGUUUCUGUUGACUGACAAUCAAGUAAUCACAUUCAGUGAAUCAACAAGCUAUAGGCAACAAUUAAUAAACAAUCUGUGAUGAUCCACAAAAGAUCUAGUAGCAACUGGACCUAUGGUUUAGGCAGAGGAAUUUAUUGUCUCAACCUGUUUAUCCAUAUGUUAUCACUUUCUCAAUAAUUUAAGAUUACUUGUCUUACUGACCAUUUUCUAUCUUACUUUAUCCGACUCAAUAUCCUGUGGACAAAAAGUGAGUCUGAGCUUAAAGAAAGUGACUUAGAGCACCCUAACAAGUUCAUAUUGUGUGCUACACCUGUUUAUCCAUACAAUAUCACUUAUUUCACAGAUGACUUGUCUCACUAACCAUUAUUUAUCUUUCUCUCUUCUCCUCUUCCUCUACCACCUGAGCUGCUGCUAUUCACUGUGGAUAAGAUAAUAAGACAAUAAGACAGAGAAUGUUAGGACAUCCAGGGUUUCCAUGACGACAGCAAAGAAACGCUCAUUCUGACCCGAUCAGAGGCAUGAGUGAGGACAGGACGAGCUGCAGAGCAGACGGUGUACAUCCAGGGUUCCCGUGACAACAGCGAAGAAACGCUUACUCCUGACCUGAGCAGAGGGAUGGCUGACAAUAAGAUAAGAAGAGAGCAGUGGCAGACUAUAUAUACCUGUAUUUAUUUAAAUUUUUUAUUUUUUUAAGACCCGGGUCUUUGGUCCUCGUGGAGCCCCUGAGAGUGGACACAAAACCAGCAUCACACACACACAUACACACACACACACACACACACACACACACACACACACACACACACACACACACACACACACACACACACACACACACAACCCUACACACACACACACACACACACACACACAUACAGCAGUGCACUGAACACACAGAAGCACCCUCAGCACCAGACUCUGCACUGGAUAUUGAAUUCAAUCAAAUAAAGACAAAGUCAGACAUGUGAAAUGA
Dicentrarchus labrax (European seabass) is the source of this 1013-nucleotide long non-coding RNA. RefSeq lists it as uncharacterized. The record is from RefSeq and is a predicted model, not a curated record. The transcript is spliced from 3 exons. NCBI's taxonomy places the organism in Eukaryota, Metazoa, Chordata, Actinopteri, Moronidae.